GACGAACGCUGGCGGCGUGCCUAAUACAUGCAAGUUGAGCGCCGAAGGUUGGUACUUGUACCAACUGGAUGAGCAGCGAACGGGUGAGUAACGCGUGGGGAAUCUGCCUUUGAGCAGGGGACAACAUUUGGAAACGAAUGCUAAUACCGCAUAAAAACUUUAAACACAAGUUUUAAGGUUGAAAGAUGCAAUUGCAUCACUCAAAGAUGAUCCCGCGUUGUAUUAGCUAGUUGGUGAGGUAAAGGCUCACCAAGGCGAUGAUACAUAGCCGACCUGAGAGGGUGAUCGGCCACAUUGGGACUGAGACACGGCCCAAACUCCUACGGGAGGCAGCAGUAGGGAAUCUUCGGCAAUGGACGAAAGUCUGACCGAGCAACGCCGCGUGAGUGAAGAAGGUUUUCGGAUCGUAAAACUCUGUUGGUAGAGAAGAACGUUGGUGAGAGUGGAAAGCUCACCAAGUGACGGUAACUACCCAGAAAGGGACGGCUAACUACGUG
This 497-nucleotide ribosomal RNA is filed under the name uncultured bacterium. Its description in RNAcentral is "partial 16S ribosomal RNA". It matches the Rfam family "Bacterial small subunit ribosomal RNA", at positions 28 to 507 of the family's 1533-position model. The record is from RNAcentral.